GUGCUCGCUUCGGCAGCACAUAUACUAAAAUUGGAACGAUACAGAGAAGAUUAGCAUGGCCCCUGCGCAAAAAAAAAAAAAAUUCCCUUAGUGUCUUUCCAGGAGUUU
Small nuclear RNA from Neogale vison (American mink), 108 nucleotides. Lineage: Eukaryota; Metazoa; Chordata; Mammalia; Carnivora; Mustelidae. The record is from Ensembl.